Cebus imitator (Panamanian white-faced capuchin) is the source of this 137-nucleotide long non-coding RNA. RefSeq lists it as uncharacterized. The record is from RefSeq and is a predicted model, not a curated record. Lineage: Eukaryota; Metazoa; Chordata; Mammalia; Primates; Cebidae. The transcript is spliced from 3 exons.
GGCAGCAGAUAAAAAGAGAGUUUGUGCAGGGCAACUCCUGUUUUUAAAACCAACAGAUCUCGUGAGAUCCAUUCACUAUCACGGAACAGCGCAGGAAAGAUCCACCCCCAUCAUUCAGUUAUCUUCCCUGAGGUCCC